This is an RNA transcript of Panthera uncia (snow leopard), 11412 nucleotides long. It is a transcript of the gene named vestigial like family member 3, with no coding region annotated. The transcript has 5 exons. NCBI's taxonomy places the organism in Eukaryota, Metazoa, Chordata, Mammalia, Carnivora, Felidae. The record is from RefSeq and is a predicted model, not a curated record.
GGCGUGCAUUGUGUAUAUGCAAACCAGUGCCCCGGCUCCCCGGGGCUGCCCUACCCGGCCGGGGCUGAGGCUGCGGCUGGAGCUGCGGUGGGUGCUGCUGUCCUCGCCGGAGCCCGGCGCUGUCAUGCCCCCGCCGCGCGGCGGGCCGCUGAGCCCCGGAGCCGCUAUAUAAGCGCAGGCAAGGGGACAUUCGGAGGGGCUGAAGAUGAAGGUGCCCGCGCAUGGGCCCCCACUGAUUGCCAACCCCUCCCGAGCCCGCGCCCAGCGCGGAGCCCGCGGCCGCCCAGGACCCGCCUUCACCGCAGUAGCAGCUGGAGCAGCGACAGAGGAGGCAGCUACGGCGGUGGCGGCGGCGCCCGUCGCCGGAGCGCGUAGAUCGGCGGCGGCAGCUCGGGGGCCGCCGCUGCCCCGGCUGCCAUGAGUUGUGCGGAGGUGAUGUAUCACCCCCAGCCGUAUGGAGCGCCCCAGUAUCUGCCCAACCCUGUGGCAGCUGCAACCUGCCCCACAGCCUACUACCACCCGGCGCCCCAACCUGGCCAGCAGAAGAAGUUAGCGGUAUACAGCAAGAUGCAGGACUCUCUGGAAGUCACCCUUCCCAGCAAACAAGAGGAGGAGGAGGAUGAGGAGGAGGAGGAGGAGGAGGAGGAGAAAGACCAGCCUGCCGAGAUGGAGUACCUUAACUCUCGCUGUGUCCUUUUCACUUAUUUCCAGGGAGACAUUGGGUCAGUAGUGGAUGAACACUUCUCAAGAGCUUUGGGCCAAGCCAGCACCCUCCAUCCAGAAUCUGCCAUUUCAAAAAGCAAGAUGGGGCUAACCCCACUAUGGCGAGACAGCUCAGCUCUCUCAAGCCAGCGGAAUAGUUUCCCGACUUCCUUUUGGACCAGCUCUUACCAGCCCCCACCUGCACCCUGCUUGGGGGGUGUUCAUCCUGACUUCCAGGUCACUGCACCCCCUGGCACCUUUACUGCGGCCGACCCCAGCCCCUGGCCAGGACACGGCCUGCAUCAGACUGGCCCAGCCCCUCCCCCGCCCGCAUCCGAGUCCUGGCACUAUCCUUUGGCAUCUCAGGUGAGCCCAUCCUACAGCCACAUGCAUGAUGUGUACAUGCGGCACCACCACCCCCACGCCCACAUGCACCACCGCCACCACCACCACCACCACCACCACCCUUCUGCUGGCUCUGCCCUGGAUCCGUCCUAUGGGCCCCUGCUGAUGCCAUCAGUGCGUGCAGCCAGGAUUCCUGCUCCCCAGUGUGACAUCACAAAGACAGACCCGACUACAGUCACCACUGCUACCUCAGCGUGGGCCGGAGCCUUUCAUGGAACCAUGGACUUAGUGCCAAGUGUGGGGUUUGAAACAGGAAAUAAAAGGCAAGAUGAAAAGUAGCUAGAGAACUAGAGCAGCAAAUGGAGAGGCAGUUUAUCUCCAUGAAAGAGAGAUGGACAUCAAGUUACCACUUGCUUUGCCGUUCAUCCUGUCUGCAGCAUCAAGACAAGAGCAAGGAAUCACCCUGGUACUGAAACACAGUAUUAGCAAGUCAGGUUGAAGUGUGAAUCCAUGGGCCCACUGGGAAAGAGGCUGCCAGGAUUUCCCAUUCUGCAGUGGGACACAAUAGACAUGGAAGAAGAAGAGGAAAUGUCAGCCAGCUAACUUUGGUUUGGAGCCUUUUCUUGAGAAAGCAGAGUGGGUCCUAGACAUUGAAGAAAAGCAUUUUUAUUUGUUUUUUUUUUUCCCCUCAUCUGAGCCUUUGUCAACUGUGCAAAUCUUUUUUUUUUUUUUUUUUUUGGUCUUGCUUUUAUCAAUACAUGAUUUAAUUUUUGUUUCAUUCUGAUUUUUUUUUCUUUUUCCUUUUUGAACCAACCAUCUUGUCAGGAAAAGAUGAACCAGACGUGAAAAUGCUCAUCCUUUCAGGAAUACAAUUUUGUAGCUCUAUGUGUAUCUAUUUUUGUAGAAUACAGAAAGUUUGAUUUAGCAUUGAUGGGCUAUUUUUGAGGGAUGUAUUUUUUUUAAUAUUGUAAAAAUUGGUAAGUUCUGUUUAAAGAACUUGCUUUCAGAGAAGCACUGGCAAAAAUGUUAAAAAUGCUUGUCUUUAAAAUGUCUGUGAUAUGCUCUGUGCUUUCUAGGUUACCUCAAGUGUUUGAUAGUUCCUCCUUUUUACAAAAGUAGCAGCAUAGCCAAGCCAAGAUAGUAUUGUUUUACAUUAAAUCUCGGCGAAGAUUUAAUUCCAUGUUAGCUCACUUAGCUUUGAGUUAUAUGUAUAGAUUGGAAAGGAAGUUUUUUAAUGACCAUACUAAAGAAAGGAUAUUUCAUUACUUCGAUUUGUCCCAAAGAGUACUUGGAGUUUGACUAAGAAGAAAGUUUGCAUCAACUUUCAGUCAGAGGGAGAGACUGCCUGGAGUAUAUAAUUGUCUUUCUAGCCCAUCCAACUUUGAUAAAUGGAACCGGUUUGUAUCCAACCACUGGAAAAAAAAAUACAUUAACCCAUGCUACCUUUGACUGCCAGUGACUUAGUUUCCUUGUUUCUAAUUAUUCAAUCAUGGCAAUUUUUAAGGUCAUAUUUUAAGUGGAUGUUUUUGUUUGUUUUUGUUUUUAUUUUCCGAGAUAUUUUGAAUGGAAAAUAUUUGGGAGGGUACUAGACACAGCACAAGCCUUGAAUUCAGUGACUAUUUCUGACGUUACUCAUCAUUAUAUAUUGAAAAAUAAUAUAUUGUAUAUGUGAUUUUAAACAUAGGUUUUUUUCAAGUCUUUUUUUGGUUGUUUAAAUCUGGUCUUAGUUGAUUGAACUCUUUUUAAGAAAAUGAUUUAGGGUAAAAUGAAAUUUAAAUUAGAAUAUGCCACAAUUACUUAAAUUGGGGUAAUAAAUUAGCCAUUUAUUAUUUGAAAUUUAUUCAUGAAAACUCAGGAUUCAACUUGACGUGGCCCUCAGGACCUAAAUAAGGUGAAGUUGGAACUAUCAUUAAGACCCUAUUGGGAAAAGAUUAGGGUUAUAAAAGUAGCAGUUAGUAAUAUUUUAAGGAUUUUUGAUUCAAGUCCAUUCUCUCAAAGCUGCUUCCAGAGAUGGGUCACAUUAAAGAGUUAGGGCUAUAUAGAAGUUUUAGUUUGGUAAAAGUUUCUCAAAUGUCCCCCAUCCUUGUCUUCACCAAUACGAAAUACAGUGUUUAGUGAAAUACCACUUUCCAUUUUAAAUUGUGUAUAUCUUGUGUGUAAAGAUUUUAGCUAUAAGAACAACACAACCUUUGCUCAGCUAGGCAGGGUUCUUACAGAUAAUUUAAAGUAAUUCCCUUAUCUCUGUUUUUUACAUUGGUUGUCUUCCCUGGUGCCUCCUGUGAGUUAUAAAUCUAUACACUCUCUUGUAUUCUUAUCACUGCAUAAAUUGCUUCUUCUUACCUAGACUCUCCUUAACACAAUAUGCAUAUUUUUACCUAAUGUGAGGUUGAAACUUAAGGAAUUUUCCACUUACUAAUGACAUGAACUUUGAGUUCUAGGGAGUGGCUUAGUUAAAUUAUCUAUAUUUUGAUCUGUGAUUUGUUAUGGUUGUAUGUACUUUGUCCAAUCUGUGGAACAUGAAGUUGAUUGAAUCUAUAAAAUUGGUUUCCUCUUGUGUCCUCCUGAGUUUUCAAAAACAAGUAUUCAGCAGUUCCCAUGGGAUGACUCAUUGGGGAUUAUUUAUUUCCUUCCUCUUCCUUUGGAACCUAUUAACUUCCUUUGCAGUUUCUCUUAGAACAGUGUUGUACUCCAACUCAUUCAGAUCAUGCAAUUGGAUUUUCCCAAUUAAGGGAGAAGAAAAGUAUUAACUCUCUGCUCCGUUCCUUCUUCUCCAUUGAAUUGAAUUCAAAAGGAGAGCAGACAAUUGGAUAGCUUCACCCUGAAUUUGGACUGUGUUCUGUGCCACUGUAGGAUGGUACAUUGUGCACAGUAGAAUGUAGGAUGAAACAUUCCUUGGCUCUGGGGCCCAAGAAAAGUUGGGGACCUGAAUUCUGCUGUAUCUAGGAAAGAUUUGCAAGUGAGGUCUCCUGUUGAGAAAAGACAUCAUUGACAUAUUGCAAGGAUUAGAUCCUUGCAAGAUAAGGAAUAGAUCAAAGUCUAAAUGAAAAGAGAGUGCAUGUCUCUAUAAUUGCCUGGCAUCCCCUUGUUAUGAUCAUUUUACCUUUACCACCAGAAGUUAUAAAAGAGAAUGGGUUGUAAUUUAGCAUGAUAUUCUGACCUUAAGUUUAAAAUGCUAUCACUCUCUGGUUCUGCUUUCCUCACAUCAAAACGAUGCUGUUGAACUUAUAGGCUUCUAACCUGCUUUAAAGAGGCUACCAGCUUCCUCCCUAAAUCAUUUGAAACCACUCCACCUUUGACUAUUUUAAAAAUUAGACUUUAUUCAAGGUUUUGGAAGAUGUGAGCUAAACCAUAUAAAAUCAUCUCAUUUAUUUGACAUCUAAUCCAGGCUUUGGCCACUACACUAUCAUAAGUUAAUGAACAACUCAUGAGUUGGAUCUCAACAGGCUACUUUGUCCCUCAUCGUUUAUUUGAAAGAGCCUCUAAAUAUUUUAAAAAUCAAUGUUUCUUAAGAAGGUUAAUCAUCCCCUUCCUAACUUUCAUCUGUAAUUUUUCUUCUUUCUCUUUCUUCUUAAAAUUAUUUACAUUAUUAUUUAAGCAAAAAUGCCCAGGGUUGCUCCAAAUGUUGCAAAUAAGAACCAGUGGUUUGCAAAUAAUUGAGGAAUUAGUUCUUUGAACUUUAUAACAAACCUUAAAAAAAAACAAAAAAAAAAAACAAAAACAAAACAAAACAAAUUCUAGGCACUGGUGUAAAACAUGCCCUUGAGGAGCUCAUUAUUCAUUUUGCAAACCAUCUUUCCUAUUCCUGUUCUAAGACUUGCAGAAUAGGACUGGAUCUAUCUAGUUUUUGCAUUUGUUCUGUGGUUUAGUGUUACAUGUGUCAUUUAAAGUUGCAGUCAGAAACUAUAUUUUAAGAAACUAAAUUCUAUUUCUUACUGGGUGUCCCUCCCUUUGUUACACUGUAUUUGCCAAAUUAAGUCAAUGAGGCAUUAAGUGGUGGUAAAGGAAAGUAUACAUGCUGGAGUUUUGACUGGGGGAUGAAUAGAGAAGUAGAAUGAAUUAAUGGAAAAGAUCAUUGGUUUGUAUAUUAGGUCAUUCUCUGAAUUCUGCCUUGGCCACAGUUAGAUAUGUGUGAUUUGGGGUUUAUCUUAUGAAGAAAGUGAGAUAAUAAUACCUAACUGGCAGGCUGUGAAGUGUGGAAAUGAUAUCUAUAUGAUAUAUAUAUAUAUAUAUAUAUAUAUAUAUAUAUAUGAUAUAUGUAUGAUAUAUAUAUCAUAUAUAUGUGAUCAAUCAUAUCUGUCUCAUUAUAGCUAUUUAAUAAAUGACAGGCACCACAAAUGUCUAUCAAUUUUGUAAGUAGGUCAUAAAACUGAGCUCCCAAAUGUCCCUUCUCUAUACUUUCCAUAUCUAUUUCUGCAGCAAUCCAAUAGAUAUAGGACUACUUUUUCAUGACAAAUUGUUGCAAGAGAAUCUUUGCCCACUACUAUUUGUUGAAGAUAAAUGUAAAUUUCUUAAUUAUUUCUGUUACUUUAGUGUGUCAUUUAUGAAAGAAAAUAACCUUUUAGUGGUAUGUAGCCCCAACUGUGAGUUUUCUUACAUAUUCCAAAGUUUUAUUCAUCCAGGAUCCCAAAUCAAGGCAACAUCUUUAUUAAAUCACCAAAGUUUAUAUUUUUCAAUUACAUUUUGGGCUUCCUUAGCACCUGGAAUAAAAACAUCUCUUUUGAAGUUAUCCAUUUUUUUUUCUUUUACUUGCCUUGGAGGAAAAAUUGCAGAAUAUGGUGGAAAAAGAUCGUUUGCAUGAAAAGGGGAGGGAAAAGAAAACCCUUUACGAUCUCAGCAGAUUUACUCUGCUUGAGAAAAAAAGAAACAAUUUUAUUGGAAGCAGAUGUUGACACUGUGUCAGUUAUUGAAGAUGGAAAGAGUUCUCUUGAGCCAUUGCAGUUACAAAGGGGUAUUGAUGGCAGUUAGAAUCCCUGUGAUGGAUCACCUUCACAGCAGACAUAAGGACCGCAGAAAAGCAGAAACUGUAUGAGACCACUGAAAUCAGCCUGCUGAUUUUAACGUACAGGAUCCUAAGGAUCCAGUUUCAUUUUGUUUUGUUUGUUUUGUUUUUUCUUUCCUCCAGGAUGAAAGACACAUCUUUCAGAAAAUUUAAGGCUUCUUUGAGAAAUUUACUUUUAUUCUCUAAAAACAUGGCCUAAGAGCCCUUUAAAUCUCUUAUUUUUAAAGUACUAAAAGUAUUAUUAAAGUCAUUUUAGAAAAAUCAGGUUAUAGUUUUAGUUCAGUGAUGUAUGUUGAAAAUAAAUACAUAAACUACACAAAAAAUGGAUGAUUGAAGAUUGGGGUAUGGGUGGGCCCUUCCAGGAAACCUUGGUCUCAAUAGCUUUAAUUACCUUAGUAACUUGGUCAUGGACAUUGGUCACAGAACAGACUUUCAGGCUUUUCUCUUUUAGUGCUCUCUUGGAAUUUACUCCUAUAUACUUUCCCAAAGUAUAGAAAUAGCCAUUAUUAUUAAAAUAUCUUGAUUUUCUUAUUUCCUUUAUUGUCCAUUAUGCUUUUUUAUUUGUUUGAAAAAUUUUUAUAGUUUCAAAUAAUUAAUCAAACUAAUGUUCAGUCAAAAUUGCAAAUUAACUUGAUCCGAUAAUAUGUAAAUGUCCUUUUAAAGGUCAAGGCAUACUAUUGAAUUAACUAAUUAUGUAAGUAAACAAUGAUACCUUCUAGAAAAGGGACAGUCACCAUCAAGUAGCUUCCUUUUUAACAAUUUCUGGACUACUAAAUUUUGACUUAAGAAUAACUCUUUUAGAAUAUAAGAUUCUUUAGGGUUUUUUUUUUUUGGUGUAUGCAUAAGAUGUGAACUUUUCUAAUGAUAUCUCUUUAUACUAGUAGAGAUGUACAUUUUUUUUUUCUAUGCUGUGGCUAGGGCAAAAAUGAAUAAUUAUUUACACACAUGAUUUAAUUUCUUAGGAUAUUUACAAUCUUGGAUAUUAUAUAUGAUUUUAAAAUACUAUUCCAUUCAUUUUUCUGGAUGUACAAUAUAGGGAAGAGUUUUCAUGUGAAUUCUUUGUUCAUUUUAAAGUGCAUAUAUUGAAAGAGAAAACGUGGAUUAAUUUGUUUUUAUCAUAUACAUCUAGGUAAGGUGAAAUACUUUUAUAAAAAAUAGUGUAGAAGACUAUAUUUGUCACUUGGUUAGGUAAACUGAAAAUAAUAAUAGAAAUAUUAUCUUACAACAUUGAAAUACAAUGAAAUUCCAGACUUGUGAGUUUUAUGAGCAAUUUUAUGCUAUCUUAAUUUUACAUUUCCAGAAAGACAAAUUAACUAAUCUUACCUAGUUGUCAGUCUUUAAUAUAAAACUUUUGGGUUUACAAGCUCAUUAUGAAAUCAUAAUUUUUGUUUGUUUUUCUUGGGAUUGUGGAAAGAGACAUUUUCAUAUUUCUAUUCACUCUUCAAAUGCAGGUCACAUAACUAUGUGUCAGUGAUAUAAGAUGAUGGAGGACUUUGUAGUAAAAACUGUCACCUUCAAUUUGUUCAAUAAAUAAUUUAAUGUGAAUUUAAUGUUUAUAUUUUAAUGUAGCAUUUUCGUUUGGUCUGCCUUUCUUGAAAAUGAACUCAAGCUCACUGUUUUCUUCUUCUCCAGUUAAGGAGUUUAUAAAUAUCUUUGAAAACUAAAGCUAAAUAUUAGUGAGUCUUUUUUAUGAAGUUAAUUUCUAAGGCCAAGUUAAUUUCUAAGGCCAAGUUGUUAAUAGUGAAGAGUGGGUUAUAAAACAAGUGUUCAUAAUGGAAGAACAAGUGAAAUGUACUAAAUUACAUAACAACAGGAAGCUUCUGAAGUUUUUUCAAUGUUUACUUAUUUGGGAGAGAAAGAGAGAGAGGGAGAGAGAGACAAUGUCAAGCAGGCUCUACGUUGCUAGUCUGGAACCCAAGGCAGGGCUUGAUCCCAUGAACCAACCAAACCAACCGUGAAAUCAUGACCUGCGCCAGGAUCAAGAGUUGAACACAACCAACUGAGCCACCCAGGCACACCGUGAAUUUUUUAAUACAAUGCUUCUAAAGCUAUCAAUUGACUCUUUGCACAAAGUACAUUUUGUUGUUUUGUUUUUACUCUUAUUGAUACAGAACUUGCUGUAAGUAGUAUGGAAAAUCACAAACACACACACACACACACACACACACGACCAAAAACUUACAGUUCAUUGACAGUGAAGAACUACACCUAGAAAGGAAAAUUCCAAGACUAUAUUUUUGAAGGAAGUUAGAGUUUUCCUACAAUGGCGUCUACUUUCUUAUUAAAUGAAUUUUUAAUGUGGAAGUGCAAAAGUCUAGAAAUAAGUGUUUAAAUCAGUAGACCCUCCAACAUUAUAGGUGAAAUAAUUUGGCAUUCUUAAUUGUUGCUAUAUUUAGACUAGACUAGUGUUAUGAGUUUUCUAUGGCUGCUGUAAAAAUUACCACAAUCUUAACAUCUUCAAACAAAUUUAUUAUCUUAACCACUUGGUAGGUCAGACAUUUGGCACUGCUCUCAGGCUAAAAUCAGUGUCAGCUGCAUUCCUUCUGGAUGCCCUAAGGGAGAAUCUCUUUCUUUGCUGUUCCAAGUUUCUAGAGUCCUUGACUAAAGGCCCCCUCUUCAUCUUGUAAGCCAUUAGCCAUCAAGUCCUUCUCACAAGGCAUCAUUCUGACCCUCUCUUUCACCUCUCUCUUACAUGUUUAAAGAAAUUUGUAGUUACAUUGGCUCUACCUUGAUAAUCUCCUCAACUCAGAGUUCUUAAUUUAAUUGCAUCUGUAAAGUCCUUAAAUAUAAGGUAACAUAUUCACAGGUUCUAAGGAUUAGGAUGUGAGUAUUUUGGGGGGGUGGGCACUAUUCUACUACCACAAUUAUUAUUAGAUUUAAGUUUAUUUAUUUAUUUAUUUAUUUUUUACCAGCCUUGUAAUCUGGGAGUAUUUAAUACAUCACUGAAACUAGCAAGGCUUGUUCCAUGUUCGCAAUGGUCGUUUGUGUAGGAUUCGUCUUCAUUCACUUAAAUAAUUGCAUACAAAGGGAAUUUCUGUUCUUAUUUCAAACAUUUCACGUGGUUAUUAUAGUGCCUUGGAAUCUAAAGGGCUAUGUGGUAUUUAUGUCAGACAAACGCUCAGGGGGUGGGGGGGUGGUGGAGAGAAGGACAUCUGGUGCAGAUUCUUCCUAGCUGAAGUGUGUUUUCUCUGGGGACAAUCAACUACCAUUUAAUUGUUUUGCUUCCUUUUUUUGGGAACAUGAUCAUCCUGUGAUGUCCUAAGUCUCCAAGCAUCUCAUUUGACCUGCUUAUACACAUUUGACAAAAUAUCUAUAUAUGACCACAUUGACAUGGUAAAGCUUUUACAUUUUUGUCCAGAUUGAAUCAUUACAUCUGUUAUCAGUUAAGCAGUGGAAAAACUGUUAUGGAAAGCAAACAUAUUUUGAUACAUUUAAUGUGUAAAGUAGGUUCCUGUGCUUUGGAAUGCUGUUGAUCAAUAAAUGAGCUAGGCUGUCUUAGAAAUAACACUCAAACACAACUGUUUUACUUUCCACACCAAGUUUGGCUGUGGCUGAAUGAAGAACACCAGCAUUGAUCUUUGCUUCUCACUUGUAAAAGAGACUAUUUGCUGGGAGCCAAAUAUAGCAACAGAGGAUUUAUUAUCUUGCCAAAAAAUACAAAAUCUGUUCCCCUUUAAACACGAUACUCUAUCCUUUUCUUGUGGAUCUUGCUAAAAGGAAAAUAUAGCUCUAAACUACCCCAUUCCUUCUGCUGAAAGUUUCCUACGUUUUUUCAAAUGGGCUAUGUGUGGUUUUGUGUUUUAUGUUUCCUAAAGAAAAUGGCUGUAUGCAAAAUCCAUCCAGUAUUAAUCAUGUUCCUUGCCAAAACAAACAAACAAAACCGAAAAUGUUUCUAAAGCAAAGAAGAGAGUCAACAGCAAUUAAGAAAAUCACACUUUGCUAGUUUCAAUACUAACUAUGUAUCACUGGGUGAUGUUCUAUGUUUCAUUUUGUAUUGAACCAAAAAAAAAAAUUUUUUUUUAAAUCGGCUUCAACCAACAGGUGCUUUCUUUAAAGGCCUUAGAACAUGGGUGUUUUGCUCUGAAUGUCGUCUGACUAGUCUAGAUUAUAAUGUUGGUAAUGACAGUUAACUCUUCUGCUUGGUUUAUGAUGUAUAUACAGAAUUUUAAAAACAGUUUUGCAAACAUCACCAAGAAAAUAAGCUUUCCAGUGACAGCUUUACCAGACAUCUUCGUGUGGGAUUUUAAAACAAACACAAGGCUGUUUGGAAAUACUUGGUAUAUGCAAAUAUGCAAAAUAUGCUGAACAGUGCUAACAGCUGUAGGGUGUAUGUACUCCCUCAUCCUUGAGCAGAAUAUUUUGGUGGCAGUGAUGGUUGUUUUUUCCAUCUUAGCUUCUCAUCUCCCUCACCGUCCUACCCCUCUCUCCACCCACUCACCCAUCCACAUACAAAAACACAUACUUAACACCACCACCCCCACCCCCAUUUCCAUGCUGCUUCCAAGAGAAUCAUUUCAACAGAUUCCCCCUGGAAAAGGUGGGUGGUGCCUUGAAGGACUGUUUGAGUUACAGGAUGUUGUAAAGGCUGAGCUCCAUGAACUUGCUUGCACUUGCUCUGACACCAGCCUUGCACACAGCCCAGACACUCUGCAGACCAGAUUCCAUUAAGGCUUGUCCUUGCAAGGAGAGGGAAUGUCUGGUUGAGAGUGGCCUUCCUAUGAUGAUCCUAAAGAACACAGAGUAAUCAUUUUAAAUGUGUGCUAUCAGUUUCCAUAAAAUCAAGGCACUCAUUCAUUUAUGAAAAUAAGCACAUACGGCUUUCUGCCUACAGCCUAAAAGAGGAAGGGAGGACCCAAGAAAAGUUAAAAAUGAAGGUCUCUUCUCAUAAUGCAUCAUUUUAACAGGAUGGAGAGGAGAAGAUGACAAAUAUGAAAUGAGAAACCCUGGGUCCUCAGAGCAGUUCUACUGGUAAUUUGUUGAUAGCAUUUGGUCAGUUUCCUUAUCAGUAAUGUAAAAGAUCAGAUGAAAUAAAUGUAAACUGCUUUGAGAAAAGUAAAAGUACUGCACAGAUACAAAGAGGAACUGAUAUUUAUUAAAACUCUUCUAUAUACCAUGAACAUUACAUGAAUUUAUGUUAAGGAAAUAUCACAAAUAGCAAUAUGUAGAGAGUAUUAUUUGAGAGGAAGUUUGCAAUAUAAAAAAACAUGAGGAUUUAAUGUUUAGUGAUGCAACUCAGAAGCUGAUGUCCUUGGACAAUUUCCUUAACCCCUUUAAGUCUCAGUGUAUUCGUCUGUAAAAUGAAGAUGUGCAAAGUAACUACUUCAUAGAAUUGUUAAAGGAAUUAAAUAAAGUCUAUAAAUCAUUUA